This is a long non-coding RNA of Cotesia glomerata, 507 nucleotides long. RefSeq lists it as uncharacterized. The record is from RefSeq and is a predicted model, not a curated record. The transcript is spliced from 3 exons. NCBI's taxonomy places the organism in Eukaryota, Metazoa, Arthropoda, Insecta, Hymenoptera, Braconidae.
GAAUCUGAUAAAAAAAUUAUUUAUUUGUGGUAAAUGAUUACUGAUUUGAUUUUCAUUGAUGAUAAUUAUCUGAAGUCUAGGUGAUCGUGAGAGAUGGAAAUUAUAAUAAGCCCGCUAAUAACCAAGCGCAACAUUUACUCGUCAAGAGUUCCUUAAUUUUAUAGCAGUAUUAUAUCCUUUUGGUUGUUUUCACCCGUCAACGCUUGCUGGUUGCCUGGUACCGAGGACUUACGAGAUAACUUUUAAUUAUUUUCAAUGUUUAAAUAUUUCAUUGGGUGUGUAAAAAAGUUACUCCUUGAAUACUGAAGAUUCUGUGCUUUUACCAACAAUUUUUUUAGAUUUUAAGCACAUAUUUAUUUCUACAAGAGCUUUUAAAUUAGAUGCUAUGUAAGUUUCAUUUUUCUUGAAGACUUCUAUGAUUUAAAAUUAGAAAUAUUCAGCGUUGUGUAAUUGAUGAUUAAAUGUGAGCUUGAAAAUAUAUAGUUAUAAUUUUAAAUGACACUGAAA